This is a long non-coding RNA of Arabidopsis thaliana (thale cress), 257 nucleotides long. RefSeq annotates it as other RNA. The transcript has a single exon. NCBI's taxonomy places the organism in Eukaryota, Viridiplantae, Streptophyta, Magnoliopsida, Brassicales, Brassicaceae. The record is from RefSeq.
AUUAAUUUCCGAUCCUUAUCACAAUAAUUUAACAGUAGAUCAGUUUCUAACCCUUAUCACAUCAAUCUUAUCGUUUAAUGUGCAUAACCCCUACCGAUCUAAUGAUAAACAAACAUAUUAUUAGUAUGAUAAAUUCAUGAAUAUAUUACAUUGCAACUUACAAGUAGACAGACAGACAUAUAUAGUGGGUGCAUUUGUGAAGAAAGCAUCCACCGAAAGGAGACAUUUCCCUUUAAAAGUCUUUGGCCCUCAUUUGC